CGGGAGGCCGACGGUAGCGGGCGGCGCGGCUAGGGUCAGCAGGCAGCGCCGUGCUUGGGGAAGGGGAGGCGGAGCAGGAGGAGGCGGCUCUGGCGAGGCAGCGUGGCCGGCGGAGGUAGACGCAUGCGGGCGGCCAGGUGAGGAGCCAGAGGGAGGAGGGCGCGCGUGGGGGUGGUCGCCGGUGUGGGGGGCGGGAGGGCGCGAGGUGGCACUCGGGGAAGGGGAGAGGCGCGGGCAGGCGCGGGCGACGGGGAGAGGCGGCGCCGGCGAGGUCGAGGAGCCCGGCGGAAGAGCUCGCGGGUCUCGCGAGGGAGGCGCUCGGGGCAGCUCACGCAGGCGCUGGCGGCGUGGAACAGCAGCAUGGAGAGCAGGGAGGAGGGAGCCAGGCGGCACGGGGCAGCCAGCGAGGUGGAGGCGUGCGGCGAGGCGGCCAGGGAAGCUGGGCGGCACGCGUGGAGAGCAAGGGCGGCGAGGAGCUGUGCGGACACGGGAAGGGAGAGGCGGCGCCGGCGGCGCGUUUGGCCAGGGGUCGCGGGAGGAAGGCUGCGGGGAGAGGGAGCUUCGAGGGCGCGCCGGCCAUGGGAGGGUGGCGGCGGGAGGGAGGGGAAGAAGAAGGGGAUCGGCCAGGGAGAAGGGUGGUGGCGGCAGGAGGAAAAAAUAGGAAGAAAGAAAAAGAGAGAAAGAAAAGGGAUUAAAUAAGCUAGGGUUAGGGUUUGGCUUAGAUGGGCUGGUUUUAGGCCCAACAAACAAAUCGCACACAAAUUAAAUUAAUUUGAUAUUUAAUUUGAUUUCGAAAUUAAAAUAAGAAGAGAGAAGGUGUAGGUUUAAUUAGACCCGGAAAUAAUUUGUCAAACUCCAAAAUAGGAUUUCUAAGAAAUAAUUUUAGGCUUUUAGAUACACAACAAAAGGACAAGCACAAAUGACAACACAAA
This 932-nucleotide long non-coding RNA is filed under the name Brachypodium distachyon (stiff brome). RNAcentral's name for it is "long non-coding RNA (BDIS_LNC003315)". Lineage: Eukaryota; Viridiplantae; Streptophyta; Magnoliopsida; Poales; Poaceae. The record is from RNAcentral.